GUGAGGAAUUUUGGACAAUGGGCGAAAGCCUGAUCCAGCAAUGCCGCGUGCAGGAUGAAGGCCCUCGGGUUGUAAACUGCUUUUGUACGGAACGAAAAGCCUGGGGCUAAUAUCCCCGGGUCAUGACGGUACCGUAAGAAUAAGCACCGGCUAACUACGUGCCAGCAGCCGCGGUAAUACGUAGGGUGCAAGCGUUAAUCGGAAUUACUGGGCGUAAAGCGUGCGCAGGCGGUUUUGUAAGACAGUGGUGAAAUCCCCGGGCUCAACCUGGGAACUGCCAUUGUGACUGCAAGGCUAGAGUGCGGCAGAGGGGGAUGGAAUUCCGCGUGUAGCAGUGAAAUGCGUAGAUAUGCGGAGGAACACCGAUGGCGAAGGCAAUCCCCUGGGCCUGCACUGACGCUCAUGCACGAAAGCGUGGGGAGCAAACAGGAUUAGAAACCCUGGUAGUCC
RNAcentral lists this ribosomal RNA (450 nucleotides) under uncultured bacterium. Its description in RNAcentral is "partial 16S ribosomal RNA". It matches the Rfam family "Bacterial small subunit ribosomal RNA", at positions 354 to 796 of the family's 1533-position model. The record is from RNAcentral.